This 464-nucleotide ribosomal RNA is filed under the name uncultured bacterium. Its description in RNAcentral is "partial 16S ribosomal RNA". It matches the Rfam family "Bacterial small subunit ribosomal RNA", at positions 28 to 507 of the family's 1533-position model. The record is from RNAcentral.
GACGAACGCUGGCGGCGUGCUUAACACAUGCAAGUCGAACGGAAAGGCCCCUUUGGGGGUACUCGAGUGGCGAACGGGUGAGUAACACGUGAGUAACCUGCCCUUGACUUCGGGAUAACUUCAGGAAACUGGGGCUAAUACCGGAUAGGAAUCCUUGCUGCAUGGUGGGGGUUGGAAAGCUUCGGUGGUUUUGGCUGGACUCGCGGCUUAUCAGCUUGUUGGUGGGGUAGUGGCUUACCAAGGCUUUGACGGGUAGCCGGCCUGAGAGGCGACCGGCCACAUUGGGACUGAGAUACGGCCCAGACGCCUACGGGAGGCAGCAGUGGGGAAUAUUGCACAAUGGGCGGAAGCCUGAUGCAGCAACGCCGCGUGCGGGAUGACGGCCUUCGGGUUGUAAACCGCUUUCAGCAGGGGCGAAGCUUGUGGUGACGGUACCUGCAGAAGAAGCACCGGCUAACUACGUG